This is a long non-coding RNA of Rhododendron vialii, 1189 nucleotides long. RefSeq lists it as uncharacterized. The record is from RefSeq and is a predicted model, not a curated record. The transcript is spliced from 2 exons. NCBI's taxonomy places the organism in Eukaryota, Viridiplantae, Streptophyta, Magnoliopsida, Ericales, Ericaceae.
UAAGGCCCUGUUCCGCUAAGAGAAAUAAAUGUCUAUUUUUUUGAAUUAAAUGUGAUGUAUUGCGAGAGAAUGAUCUGUCUCGUAAAACGAAAAAAAGUACUUAAGAAAUAAGAACAUCAAUGGAACGAGACCUAAGUGCAUGAACCUCAUAAAAAUGAGUGAUUGAAAAAGGUGUAAGGGCACCAAGACCACGGAAUAAAUACUUCGUGUAUAAGCCAGUCAUUCUAAGCACAAACGACACAACCAAAACAACAAAAGAAGUCUCGGUAUUCUUAUCCACCGCAUCACCACCAAAGCAAUUUGGAUUCAGGCGGGCAAUUCAACAAUCAUCCGAUGAUAUCAAAGUGCAAAAGCACCAACCCUGACGACAGUCCGUGGGUUUAAGAUUGUUAAUGGGACCGAUUCGCAAACCGGAAUUCUGGUUCCAUUCUGAUUCGCAUCGUUUCACCAACCCGAUACAUGUGUUGAGUAGAUUAUAGGUUCCACUAGUUACCACCUUAUGAAUUGUAUUAUAGAAAGGAUUCAAGACCUGGUUCAGCUACCUGAGCAAAAAAGAAAUAUUGUCGUAGUUUUUUUUUUGAUCGGCCAAUAUUGUUGUGGUCUUUAAAAUGUAAUAUAUACUACGGAGUAUUAAUUAAUCGCGUUGAGUACACUUUGAUGGGAACACAGAGAAUCGGAACAGCAAUGGAGGUAUUGGAGUUAUCAUCUGAAGGUUUAUGCAGCCCAAAAUGGGUUGGAUUACUGGUAUCAACAACCGGUCAGCUAGAGAGGGAUUACUGGUAUCAACAACAGGUCUGCUAGAGAGGGAUUACUGGUAUCAACAACCGGCCAGCUAGAGAGGGAUUACUGGUAUCAACAACCGGUCUGCUAGAGAGGGUUUGAUUUGAACCUGGCAAUUGAUCUGGGAUUGAAAGAUGUGGAAUUGGAGGCUGGAGGACAAAUUGAGAAGCUAAAUUUUGUCCACCGUAAUUCUAGAAGGAGCUGCAGAGAUGCGUGUUGCGCGAGGUGUGCGAUCUGGGACGUAACUUGGGAAGCCUACCCUUCUUUGUGUUUGUUUCCUGCGUUGCAAAAAGAUAGUUGCUUGUUUUUGUUGAAUUCUUGUAUCAUCAAUAAAAUCCAUCUACGACCCAAAAAGGACACAACACCUCAAUAAGAGUAUGACUUAUGUACUUCUAACAUUUUAGUUGCA